This 628-nucleotide ribosomal RNA is filed under the name Citrobacter freundii. RNAcentral's name for it is "partial 23S ribosomal RNA". It matches the Rfam family "Bacterial large subunit ribosomal RNA", at positions 197 to 867 of the family's 2925-position model. The record is from RNAcentral. Lineage: Bacteria; Pseudomonadati; Pseudomonadota; Gammaproteobacteria; Enterobacterales; Enterobacteriaceae.
AACAUCUAAGUACCCCGAGGAAAAGAAAUCAACCGAGAUUCCCCCAGUAGCGGCGAGCGAACGGGGAGCAGCCCAGAGUCUGAAUCAGCUUGUGUGUUAGUGGAACGGUCUGGAAAGUCCGACGGUACAGGGUGAUAGUCCCGUACACCAAAAUGCACAGGUUGUGAACUCGAAGAGUAGGGCGGGACACGUGGUAUCCUGUCUGAAUAUGGGGGGACCAUCCUCCAAGGCUAAAUACUCCUGACUGACCGAUAGUGAACCAGUACCGUGAGGGAAAGGCGAAAAGAACCCCGGCGAGGGGAGUGAAAAAGAACCUGAAACCGUGUACGUACAAGCAGUGGGAGCCUCUUUAUGGGGUGACUGCGUACCUUUUGUAUAAUGGGUCAGCGACUUAUAUUCUGUAGCAAGGUUAACCGUAUAGGGGAGCCGAAGGGAAACCGAGUCUUAACUGGGCGUUAAGUUGCAGGGUAUAGACCCGAAACCCGGUGAUCUAGCCAUGGGCAGGUUGAAGGUUGGGUAACACUAACUGGAGGACCGAACCGACUAAUGUUGAAAAAUUAGCGGAUGACUUGUGGCUGGGGGUGAAAGGCCAAUCAAACCGGGAGAUAGCUGGUUCUCCCCGAAAGCU